Molecule: unclassified non-coding RNA, 592 nt
Filed under: Zea mays
Lineage: Eukaryota; Viridiplantae; Streptophyta; Magnoliopsida; Poales; Poaceae
Description: misc RNA Zm00001eb071450
Source: RNAcentral
GGGAUUAUGCUCAUUUUUUUUAUCAAACUUCCUGAGUUCCUUGGGAAUGUUCAUAAUAAAAGAUAUUUCACUUCCUGUGUUCUUUGGAAAUUUUCACAAUACAAGAGGAACUAAUAAAUCUUAUGACACGCUUGAUCUCAGUAAAAGAAGAAUGUUCAGGUGUGCCAUUCGCUUUUGCAGAACCUCAGCUGCAGAUAGCAACCAUUUUCAAGCAUGUAGCAGCCUAGCAACCAGUAAAGCACCCAGCAGAAUUUCUUCUUAUUUACAAGUGUCCAUGUUGUGCUGGAAACUGACAGUCAUCGAUAAUGAACAUUCGAACAUGUCAAAGAAACCAUUUUGAGCAAUUUGGGGUUCUACACGAAUGGAAAGUACAAUGAGUCCUUGAACACUAUACCUGCAAAUUUAUUAAUGCAGUCUUCCAUUUUUCAAGUCCUACAUACAGCAGCGAAUGAUGAUAGCACUUAGGCCUAAUGGUGAUACUUCUGUCCUUUUAUUAUAGUCCAUGCCCUGCAAAAUUAAUGCAAUUGUCACUAGUGACCGGUCAUAGAUGAAAGCAGGUAUUUAAAUGGUAGUGUUACAUUGUGCCUUUCUC